RNAcentral lists this ribosomal RNA (666 nucleotides) under uncultured beta proteobacterium. RNAcentral describes it as "bacterial SSU rRNA". It matches the Rfam family "Bacterial small subunit ribosomal RNA", at positions 61 to 720 of the family's 1533-position model. The record is from RNAcentral. Lineage: Bacteria; Pseudomonadati; Pseudomonadota; Betaproteobacteria.
GUCGAACGGCAGCACGGGUGCUUGCACCUGGUGGCGAGUGGCGAACGGGUGAGUAAUACAUCGGAACAUGUCCUGUAGUGGGGGAUAGCCCGGCGAAAGCCGGAUUAAUACCGCAUACGAUCUAUGGAUGAAAGCGGGGGACCUUCGGGCCUCGCGCUAUAGGGUUGGCCGAUGGCUGAUUAGCUAGUUGGUGGGGUAAAGGCCUACCAAGGCGACGAUCAGUAGCUGGUCUGAGAGGACGACCAGCCACACUGGGACUGAGACACGGCCCAGACUCCUACGGGAGGCAGCAGUGGGGAAUUUUGGACAAUGGGCGAAAGCCUGAUCCAGCAAUGCCGCGUGUGUGAAGAAGGCCUUCGGGUUGUAAAGCACUUUUGUCCGGAAAGAAAUCCUUGGUUCUAAUAUAGCCGGGGGAUGACGGUACCGGAAGAAUAAGCACCGGCUAACUACGUGCCAGCAGCCGCGGUAAUACGUAGGGUGCGAGCGUUAAUCGGAAUUACUGGGCGUAAAGCGUGCGCAGGCGGUUUGCUAAGACCGAUGUGAAAUCCCCGGGCUCAACCUGGGAACUGCAUUGGUGACUGGCAGGCUAGAGUAUGGCAGAGGGGGGUAGAAUUCCACGUGUAGCAGUGAAAUGCGUAGAGAUGUGGAGGAAUACCGAUGGCGAAG